Long non-coding RNA from Pistacia vera, 826 nucleotides. RefSeq lists it as uncharacterized. The record is from RefSeq and is a predicted model, not a curated record. Lineage: Eukaryota; Viridiplantae; Streptophyta; Magnoliopsida; Sapindales; Anacardiaceae. The transcript is spliced from 4 exons.
ACCGGCCUCCAUUGAGUUGAGAACUCUCAGGAAAAUCAGCAACUCGAAUAUUUUCACUACUCAAAAACUGGAUGCUAAUCAACACCUCCGGCGGCGCCAGAAAGUGGAGAAUUAAAGGGCCUUGUGCGAAAUUCUGUGCUCAACUUAGAUUCUUUAAUGAGUAUUUGCCUGAAGAUAAAGAUCCUCUGCAUGCGUGGUUGGUGAUUUGUUUCGUCUCUGUUCUUGCUCUUGCAGUAUUGUGUGUAACUACUGAAAGUAACACUUCAGCGACCCCAUUGAUAAAGAAAGUAUUCCUACAUACUGCUAGAGCUGAACGAAUUUUGCUUCCGGAUGGUAGAUACAUGGCAUAUAGGGUGCCAGGUGUUCCAGUUGACAGAGCUAGGUUUUCUAUAAUUGUUCCCUAUACGUUUCUUUCCUCUUGACUUGCAGGUUGGAUAAUCUUAGUGUUAAAAGAUUGUAGUGUGCUAUUGGUUUUACUUACAUUUGUAAAGUUUUUAUUUGUUAUGUUGUAUCCUUUCUUGAUCAAGAAUACCUGGACUUAAGACUUCACUUUUGGAAGAGUUUGGUAUUUGCUUGUUGACUUAUGAUCUUCCAGGUUUUGGUGAGAGUGAUCCUCAUUCCAGUAGAAACGUUGAGUCAUCAGCAUUGGAUAUGUUGUUUCUGGCUAGUUUGUGGGUGUUAAUGGCAAGUUCUGGGUGUUGGGAUACUCGAGUGGAAGCCUGCAUGCGUGGGCCGCGCUCAGAUACAUUCCUGACAGACUUGCAGCUUGAAGAUAGACUGGAACAAACUGUGCUUCUGAUACAUAAACAUUUUUGAAGUUAAGAAA